GAUGAACGCUGGCUACAGGCUUAACACAUGCAAGUCGAGGGGAAACGGCAUUGAGUGCUUGCACUGAAUGGACGUCGACCGGCGCACGGGUGAGUAACGCGUAUCCAACCUUCCCGUUACUGCGGGAUAACCUGCCGAAAGGCAGACUAAUACCGCAUGUUCUUCGAUGACGGCAUCAGAUUCGAAGCAAAGAUCCGUCGGUAACGGAGGGGGAUGCGUCUGAUUAGCUAGUUGGCGGGGCGACGGCCCACCAAGGCGACGAUCAGUAGGGGUUCUGAGAGGAAGGUCCCCCACAUUGGAACUGAGACACGGUCCAAACUCCUACGGGAGGCAGCAGUGAGGAAUAUUGGUCAAUGGGCGGAAGCCUGAACCAGCCAAGUAGCGUGCAGGAUGACGGCCCUACGGGUUGUAAACUGCUUUUAUGCGGGGAUAAAGUGAGGGACGCGUCCCUUUCUGCAGGUACCGCAUGAAUAAGGACCGGCUAAUUCCGUG
RNAcentral lists this ribosomal RNA (492 nucleotides) under uncultured bacterium. RNAcentral's name for it is "partial 16S ribosomal RNA". It matches the Rfam family "Bacterial small subunit ribosomal RNA", at positions 28 to 507 of the family's 1533-position model. The record is from RNAcentral.